UGGGGAAUAUUGGACAAUGGGCGCAAGCCUGAUCCAGCCAUGCCGCGUGAGUGAUGAAGGCCCUAGGGUUGUAAAGCUCUUUCACCGGUGAAGAUAAUGACGGUAACCGGAGAAGAAGCCCCGGCUAACUUCGUGCCAGCAGCCGCGGUAAUACGAAGGGGGCUAGCGUAGUUCGGAUUUACUGGGCGUAAAGCGCACGUAGGCGGACUUUUAAGUCAGGGGUGAAAUCCCGGGGCUCAACCCCGGAACUGCCUUUGAUACUGGAAGUCUUGAGUAUGGUAGAGGUGAGUGGAAUUCCGAGUGUAGAGGUGAAAUUCGUAGAUAUUCGGAGGAACACCAGUGGCGAAGGCGGCUCACUGGACCAUUACUGACGCUGAGGUGCGAAAGCGUGGGGAGCAAACAGG
Molecule: ribosomal RNA, 404 nt
Filed under: Actinomycetes bacterium
Lineage: Bacteria; Bacillati; Actinomycetota; Actinomycetes
Description: Actinobacteria bacterium partial 16S ribosomal RNA
Rfam family: Bacterial small subunit ribosomal RNA
Source: RNAcentral